RNAcentral lists this ribosomal RNA (65 nucleotides) under Neoscytalidium dimidiatum. RNAcentral's name for it is "partial 28S ribosomal RNA". The record is from RNAcentral. Lineage: Eukaryota; Fungi; Ascomycota; Dothideomycetes; Botryosphaeriales; Botryosphaeriaceae.
AGGUUGACCUCGGAUCAGGUAGGGAUACCCCGCUGAACUUAAAGCAUAUUCAAUAAGUCGGAGGA